GGCAUGGUGUGUACUGGAUUUGAAGUCCAAGGAUCUGGGUUCAAAUCCUGGCUAUGCCA
RNAcentral lists this transfer RNA (59 nucleotides) under Monodelphis domestica (gray short-tailed opossum). It matches the Rfam family "tRNA". Rfam says of the family: Transfer RNA (tRNA) molecules are approximately 80 nucleotides in length. Their secondary structure includes four short double-helical elements and three loops (D, anti-codon, and T loops). Further hydrogen bonds mediate the characteristic L-shaped molecular structure. tRNAs have two regions of fundamental functional importance: the anti-codon, which is responsible for specific mRNA codon recognition, and the 3' end, to which the tRNAs corresponding amino acid is attached (by aminoacyl-tRNA synthetases). tRNAs cope with the degeneracy of the genetic code in two manners: having more than one tRNA (with a specific anti-codon) for a particular amino acid; and 'wobble' base-pairing, i.e. permitting non-standard base-pairing at the 3rd anti-codon position. Lineage: Eukaryota; Metazoa; Chordata; Mammalia; Didelphimorphia; Didelphidae. The record is from Rfam by way of RNAcentral.